GACGAACGCUGGCGGCGCGCCUAACACAUGCAAGUCGAACGAGCGAGCGAGAGCUUGCUUUCUCGAGCGAGUGGCGAACGGGUGAGUAACGCGUGAGGAACCUGCCUCAAAGAGGGGGACAACAGUUGGAAGCGACUGCUAAUACCGCAUAAGCCCACGGUGCCGCAUGGCACAGAGGGAAAAGGAGCAAUCCGCUUUGAGAUGGCCUCGCGUCCGAUUAGCUAGUUGGUGAGGUAAUGGCCCACCAAGGCGACGAUCGGUAGCCGGACUGAGAGGUUGAACGGCCACAUUGGGACUGAGACACGGCCCAGACUCCUACGGGAGGCAGCAGUGGGGAAUAUUGCACAAUGGGGGAAACCCUGAUGCAGCGACGCCGCGUGGAGGAAGAAGGUCUUCGGAUUGUAAACUCCUGUUGUUGGGGAAGAUAAUGACGGUACCCAACAAGGAAGUGACGGCUAACUACGUG
This 466-nucleotide ribosomal RNA is filed under the name uncultured bacterium. RNAcentral describes it as "partial 16S ribosomal RNA". It matches the Rfam family "Bacterial small subunit ribosomal RNA", at positions 28 to 507 of the family's 1533-position model. The record is from RNAcentral.